GAUGAACGCUGGCGGCGUGCUUAACACAUGCAAGUCGAACGGAAAGGCCCAAGCUUGCUUGGGUACUCGAGUGGCGAACGGGUGAGUAACACGUGGGUGAUCUGCCCUGCACUUCGGGAUAAGCCUGGGAAACUGGGUCUAAUACCGGAUAGGACCACUUCUUGGAUGUUGUGGUGGAAAGUUUUCUCGGUGUGGGAUGAGCUCGCGGCCUAUCAGCUUGUUGGUGGGGUAUUGGCCUACCAAGGCGUCGACGGGUAGCCGGCCUGAGAGGGUGUACGGCCACAUUGGGACUGAGAGAGAGCCCAGACUCCUACGGGAGGCAGCAGUGGGGAAUAUUGCACAAUGGGCGCAAGCCUGAUGGAGCGACGCCGCGUGGGGGAUGACGGCCUUCGGGUGGUAAACUCCUUUCGCUAGGGAAGAAGCGUUUUUGUGACGGUACCUGGAGAAGAAGCACCGGCUAACUACGUG
RNAcentral lists this ribosomal RNA (468 nucleotides) under uncultured bacterium. RNAcentral describes it as "partial 16S ribosomal RNA". It matches the Rfam family "Bacterial small subunit ribosomal RNA", at positions 28 to 507 of the family's 1533-position model. The record is from RNAcentral.